GUCUGUCUGUCUAUCUAUCAACUAUCUACCUAGGAACACUGGGUCACCGGUGCUAUUUAAUUCCUCAUUCAUUUGGCAAAUGAGAUGUUCUGGGUAUUGAGGAAGCAAUCUGUUCUCUUGUAGUUCACAUUUUAGCUGGGGAAGGGAGAGGCUGGCCAUAAACUUGUAAAACUAAAUACAAAUUUCAAGUAGUGGUAAGUGACGAUAAGAAAUAAGACAGUGCUGGUGUACAGUGACCGAGUCGGCUGCUGGAGACUGAAUGGUCCGUGGCACGCUCUCUGAGGAGGUGCUUUCCAGGCUGAGGUACAGGGAGGAGACGGAGCCUCUCCUGUGACGCCGCGGGAAGGGAGUGUCCCAAGCAUCCCAGCAGUGCGUGCAGACUGUGAGGCAGGGACACAGCUGGGUGUUUGAGUAACAGAGCGUGAUCGCUUCUCGGCCAAAGUGUAGUAACGGAGCGUGAAUGGAACACAGUGAUCAGAGCGCACGGUGAGGGACGGAAGGCGGACCCGGUCGGCACGCAGCCAGUUUAUGCAGAGGCUGGCUGCUCUGGUGCUUGGAGACAACGUGGGAAGGAGGGCGAAUUUUACUCAAGGUGAGAAACUCUCAGAGUACUUUUGAACAGAACAGAUAGGGUCUGAUUUCUAUCGGAAAGGAAGCAUUCUGGCUGCUGCACGGAGAACGAAGAAUGAGGAUGGGCUGACUGGUAGGAAGCUGGUGCGGCAUCAGAGCGAGUUUAUGACGGCCCCGAGGAGCAAGGCAGCCGUGGAAGAGACAAGUGGCGAACUUAGGUCCUGGAGAGCAAAGCCCGGGCGCUGGGCGUGCUAGGCGAGUGCUCUACCACUAGCUACCCCCACCCCUGAACACUUCUGAAUGCUGAGGAUCGCUGGGUGCUCCUCAUGGAGCGUACAUUCCAGUGGAGGAAGAAGCAAAUACCGAGGGAGUCAGAGAGUGGAAAGAACUGUGGAGAAAAAUGAAGCAUGGAUGAGUAAGGUUAGGACAGACAGAAUGGGACAAAGUACACAGAGUGCCCUGGGCAGAGGGAACUCGGGAAGCGUGUCCACGUAUUCAAAGGGUAUAGGGCAACCUGCAUGAAGAGAGCAAGGGAGAGAGAUGGAGGGCUGAUGGGCAGAGGGCCAGAUAGAGUAGGGCCCUAUGAACCAGUGACCAUAUAUAAUUUCGCAUCCAGGUUGGGAGACUUAAUUUAUCUUUUUACUUUAGUUUUUGAGACUGGUUCUUGCUAUGUUGCCCCGGCUGGAGUCAAAUUUCUGGGCUCAAAUAAUCCUCCUGCCUCAGCCUCCCAAGUGACGUGCCUAGAGACGUGCCCAUCCUGCCCAGCGACACUGGGAGACUUGGAGAGUGAAAGGUGGGAGAAGGGCUAUGGAUAAUUACACUGUGUCAAUAAAUACAAAUUGGGACCCUCCUGGAUCAAGAGUGAUGCGUAGUCCUCCUACUUACAGGCCAGUGUGAGGCAUUGUGCUCUUUUUUUGCUUGUUUGUUUUUGAGACAGGGUUUCACUAUUAGUUCAGGCUGACCUUGAACUCACUGUGUAGCCCAGGUUGGCCUUGAAUUUACAACAAUCCUCCUGCCUCAGCCUCCCUAGAGCUGGGAUCACAGGGCUCCGCUACCAUGCCCAGCAGGCACUGUACUUUUAAAAAAUCUAAAAUAGGAAGCUGCUGGAAGUUUCUGAGCAGAAAAGCAUCAUGAUCUGAUUGAGGUGACUCUGCCACAGAGACAGUAGGUCAAAGGGGAGCAGCCCAAGAAUGAGCAAGAAGGGACCUGUUAGGAAGCCAGCAGAAUCCAGCCAAGAAGCCAGAGUCUAGAUAUGUUGAAAUUAUGGCCAAAGAUGUACGGGCAAGUUGGAUUUGGGCUAUGGGGAGAAAGAACAAAAACAAACAAACAAAAACAGUGCAGUUGCCACUUUUUGAGAUGGAGAUGACUUUAGGUAGAGACGAUGAGGACAGGCAAUUAUGCAAUUACGUACCAGUCAAAUUUGGACUGCUCGAUUUGAGAUGUGUAGCAUGCACUCAAGGGAGGAUAUACUGAGUGCGCAGUCUGUGAGCUUAUUUUCAUUUGGUGGUUGUCAAUGUGGAGGUGAUAUUUAGAACCAUGAGACUGGGUAUUCAAAAGAGGAAGAGAACCAAACACUAAGUUCUGAGCACUCCAGUGCUAAGCAGUCAGGGAGACAAGAAAGGACAGAGAAGAUGGGGAAGGAGCAGCUACUGAGGUGAACGGGAAACCCAGCAAGUGUGGGGUCCGAGAAAGCAUUUCCUGGAAGACAGAGAACUGGAUUCAUCAAACGCCUGGAGAGCUCAGGUAAGAGGAGGACUGGAGUAAUCAUUAAACUUGGAAACAUGUAGGUCACUGGGGAACCAGAGAAAACUUCCUAGUGAAAAGUGGGGGCUAAAGCCUAUGUGUAAUGGGUUCCAGAGAAAACUGGAAGGCAAAAAAUUGGAAGCAGCAGUCUAGAGCCAUCUUUCGAGGAGUUUCACUGUAAGAGGACAGAGAGAAACAAGGCAGCAGCCAAAGGCAGCAGUGGGGUUGACAGAACUUUUCAGCACUGUAGAGGAACGGCUGCCUGCCCGCUGAACGAGGAGGAUCCACCCGCGAGGGAGAAGACUGAGGACGGAGAAGUCGGGAGCAGGUCCUGGAGUGGGUCAGGGCUGGGAGAAGAGCCAGGGAGGACUACAAGUGCAUAGGGGUUGAGGGCCCAUGCUAGGGGGACCAAACGCUGAUCUUAAACAAUGGAGGAAAGACAGGAAGUGAGGCACAUGGGCCAGGGGGGACGGGAAGGGCUUCUGGAUGAUGUUCUUUCCCCUUGCUUCUAGUUUCUAGUGCAGCAGGAAGCAAAAGCCCAGAUGUGGGUGAGUGUGGCACAGAAGGUGUUGGGCUUGUGAGCUUGUGAAGAAAAGGUCAUCCCAAAUAGGGAAUGGACCAGGGCUCUCGGGUCCUCUGGAAGUUGCUGAUGGUGAAAGUGAAGCUGGUCACCAGGUUUGCGUACUUUUUUCCAGUUUCACUCAGCUGGGCAGGUGAAGGGAAAAGAUGUGUGUAGGUAGGACCGAACUGGAGUCAGGUCAUCCUUCGUCCGAGAGGUAAGUUGGAUUAAGAAAUUAAGGAGGCGGGGGAUUUAGCUCAGUGGUUUUGCCUCCUGCUACGCAAGCACAAGGACCUGAGUUUGAUCCCCGGUACCAAAAAAAGAAAAAGAAAUUAAGGAAUUUGAUCAUAAUAAUUAAGCAUGAAAUUUAAACUCGACAAGAAAGGAAGUGAGGAUACGUGAGAGCAGAGAUAGAGAAAACACUUGCUCCAGGCAUGUUGCGGACACUAUGCAUUCAUUAUCUCACGGAAUUACUCCCAAUAUGGACAAAGAAGCUGAAGUUCAUGAAGAAAUAACUGGCUGAAGGCCACACAGCUGGUAAGUGACAGACCCAAGGCUGUCUCCGAAGGCUACUUAGCCCUCCUACUAUCUGCUUUAACUGGAGCAUGAAUGAGCAUCUUAAAACUUACUACCUAUGUUUGUUUAUUUAUUUAUUUAUUUAUUUGGAACUGGGGAUCGAACUCAGGUCCUUGUGUUGGCAAGACAGGCAGCGUAACCACUGAGCUAAAUCCCUGGCCUAAAACUUACUACCUAUGACCAAGACAUAAUAUGUAUAUAUACUGAUUCCCCAAGAUAAACAUAAUCUAUGUACCAUAAACAUAUACUAAUAAAAAGUUUUUUAAUGGUGCAUAUACAGAAAGGUAACUUGGCUCAAUAUUUUUGGUUCAGUGCUUGCUUUGGCAGCACAUAUAAUAUUUUUGGUUCAUAGUUUUCCAAUUUCUGUUAAUUUUAAGAUUUUCUGAUGUAUAGAUUUCUUUAAAAGUUCAUAAUAAAAUCUAUUUAUUUUAUCUUAUGUUUAAUUCCCAGAAGAGAUACUAUGAAUUUAAAAAGCAGGGGGUUUUUUGGUACCAGGGAUCGAACUCCAAACCUUGUGCUUUUCAGGCAGGCGGCAGAACCACUGAGCUAAAUCCCUGGCCCUUAAAAAGCAGUUUUAAAAAUUAGCAGUUUAAAAAAAAAAAAAAUUAGCAGUUUAUUUGAAUUUAAUCAAAUAUCUAUUCUGAUGUGUGUUGUCUAAUUGGUCUUUGAACUAGCAGAGACACAAUCAUUUGUGCACUUGUUUACUUUUGUAAACAUUGUCUCUUAGCUGGGCGUGGUGGUGCACACCUAUAAUCCCAGCACUCAAGAGGUUGAGGCAGGAGGAUCAUAGCAUGUUUGAGACCAGCCUGGGCUACAUAGUAAGAUCCUGGUUUUUUAAAAAAAGUCAUCUUUUACUAUUACAGAGUCCCCACACAAACAGCAAUACAAGUUAAAUAACAUACCCCUGGGCCAGCGAUUUUAGCUCAGUGGUUCUGCUGCCUGCCUCGAAAGCAUAAGGUCUCAAGUUGGAUCCCUGGUACCCCCCCCCCCAAAUACGCACCCUUACUUUUUAUAUUUACAAAAACUUUAAGAGCAUUUAAUGUUUAGGUGCAUAAAAAUUAAAAUGUCUACCCAUUAAACAACAUUUCCAAGCCAGGUAUGGUGGCGCACACCUGUGAUCCUAGUACUAGGGAGGCUGAGGCAGGAGGAUCAGUGUGAGUUUGAGGCCAGUCUGGACUAAAUAAUAAGUUCAAGGCCAGCCUGAACUGCAUAGUGAGACCCUGUCUUAAUGCCCCUCCCCAACCCCAAAAAACAUUUCAACCAAGUUAGAGUUAUAUUUUAUUUUGUUUUUGUUUUUUUGGUACUAGGGACUGAACUCCAGUCCUUGCGUUUGCGAGGCAGUCGGCAGAACCACUGAGCUAAAUCCCCGGCCCCUAGAGUUAUAUUUUAGUGAAGAUAAACAUCAAGUGGCUAUUACCAUGGAAGCACUAUGCUGAACAGCACUAGGGAAGAGGAAAAGAUGAGCCAGGUAGGUGCCUGGCCUCCCAGAGCCGAGAGCCACCUACAAGGACAACUGAGCAAGGGUGACAAGUCCUAGACGAGCACAGAGGAGAGGCAUGAGCAGCCCCUGCUAGUCUAGUGGGAAGAGUUUAAGGACAGCUUCUUAGGAGGCUCCACGGUCUGCUCCCCGCACCCAGGCGGCAUGGCGGCUGGCGGGCUGGUGCAGAGGCAUCUAGACCAGCUGCAGGCCAGGCACCUGCCCUGCCAACCGCUGAGCAUGAUAUCGUGCAGGGAUUAAAGCAACAAUCCAAAAUGAGAAUCAGUGUGUCAGUGUCUAAGAUAGAAAAUGUGGACGACAUAGGGAAAAUAUCCAGAGAGAACCGGCAGAGCUGAGCAGCUUAUUGAGAUGUUACAGCAAUGGUAAUCGCUUUUAGGAGGCGAUGCCAAUAACAAGCAGCGUGUCAAAACUAGUGGCUUCCCUGCCCAGGGGAGGCUGUAUCUCUGGAUAUGAUCGAGGACGAGUCCCUCGCCACAGGGCUGCUCUGCAGAAGCCACUUGAAAGGACAGCACACUGCUCCAGGCCUGCAGCAGUAACUGGGCUAAGUGAUCUCAGCCUGCCUAGCAGUAUAUUAUCCUCUCAGUGGCUUCCACCUUCUGCUUUGGACACUGCUCACUCUGGCUCUGAGGUUCUGCCAUUGCACAGGAUACACGGAAUGAGGUGUGCAGGAAGGUACGUGCUCGGGAAAGGAACAGUUUUAAACUUUGGCAGCCUUCUUUCUCAGCGCUCGCUCCUCUCAGCUGUGGGGCAUGCAAGCAUUCUCUACCCAUCUAACUGGUUUGUCCAGUUUUCCUGAUUUUUCUUUUUCCUGGCAAAAUAUAUCAUAUUGUAAGCUAGUUUUAGGAAACAGAAGGCUUUGUCACAUGCUCUUAAAAAAAAAAGCAUAGCAGACAGGGACCAUUCAAUAGGCUUUGAGGCACAACUGCUGCAAUUGUAGCUAGAUAAUUUAGGACUCCUUCUUGAAGGCAGAUAAGCUACAGAAACUUAUUUAUUAAUCUCUUGCUGCAUUUCACGUGCAGAACACUAUUUAUAUCCGCCAUUGUGAUAUAAUAUGAAUAUAUUUGAUUUUCAUCCCUGGUUCUUAUCUUAGAGCUCCUAAAUCCACUGGAAUUUCCUGACUAGAAAGGAGUUCUUUUGUUAUUCAUCAUAAACUCCUUUGGUAACUUUAUACUAAUUACUUAUGCUGUGGCCUCAGGAAGGGACCCACCACCAGAAGACCAAGUGACAGAAGAUAAAAGGACUGGAACUUUCAACUCACCCACUGACCUCUGGGAUGGGGGUGCCGGAGAGCAAGCUCUGUCCAACUCCUGAUGGUGAUCUGAAGAGCUUUUGGGAUAAGGUGCACAGAGAACUCACACAAAUCCAAAAGAAAGAAGAUGAAAAGACCAGUAGAAGAGUGGGCAGUGUGCAGUCGGCUCACUGAACAGUAAAUGGAUUGGCUAAAACUCAAUGAAAACAUGCUCGAUGGCAUUUAUAAUUAGGGAAAGGGCAACAAAGGCAACAGUGAUGUGCAUUUUUCAUAUGAUGGGUUACCAACUAUGUAAAAAUUGGCUAGUUCCCAUUGAUGGGAAGGAUAUGGGGAGACAACCACUCUCACUAUUGAUAGCUGGAUUGAAAGUGGGUACAAUAUUUACAGUUCAAUUUGGGAAUAUUUAGGAAGUUAUAAAAAGGUGUUCUCUGUUCCA
This is a long non-coding RNA of Heterocephalus glaber (naked mole-rat), 6631 nucleotides long. RefSeq lists it as uncharacterized. NCBI's taxonomy places the organism in Eukaryota, Metazoa, Chordata, Mammalia, Rodentia, Bathyergidae. The record is from RefSeq and is a predicted model, not a curated record.